AUGUGGACCCUAUUCUGUUCCACUGAGUAUGCCUGUUCUUCUACCCAAUGCCACACUGUCUUAGUUACCUGCGUCACACUGUCUUUAGUUACCUGUGUCACACUGUUUAGUUACCCCUUGUCACACUGUCUUCAGUUACCCGCGUCACAUUGUCUUAGUAACCCACCACACACUGUCUUCGGUUACCCGCGUCACACUGUCCUCAGUUACCCGCGUCACACUGUCCUCAGUUACCCGCGUCACACUGUCCUCGGUUACCCCGUGUCACACUGUCUUCAGUUACCCCGUGUCGCACUGUCCUCAGUUACCCGCGUCACACUGUCCUCAGUUACCCGCGUCACACUGUCCUCGGUUACCCCGCGUCACACUGUCCUCAGUUACCCCGAGUCGCACUGUCCUCAGUUACCCGCGUCACACUGUCCUUAG
This 426-nucleotide long non-coding RNA is filed under the name Sus scrofa (pig). Its description in RNAcentral is "lncRNA (ENSSSCG00015074330.1)". Lineage: Eukaryota; Metazoa; Chordata; Mammalia; Artiodactyla; Suidae. The record is from RNAcentral.